CUUACAUAGUUCUUUGGCAUUCUGUCCACCUCCAAUUAGCUUCAUGAUCUUCUAUAUUUUUUUAGAAAAUUAUAAUUUAUUAUUUAGAAAAAAAAAAUAAGAAAAAAAAUGGAGGUGGGCAUACUGUCAACAGAUUUGUGUUGG
This 144-nucleotide microRNA precursor is filed under the name Solanum tuberosum (potato). RNAcentral's name for it is "MIR394 microRNA precursor family". It matches the Rfam family "MIR394 microRNA precursor family". The record is from Rfam by way of RNAcentral. Lineage: Eukaryota; Viridiplantae; Streptophyta; Magnoliopsida; Solanales; Solanaceae.